Molecule: ribosomal RNA, 692 nt
Filed under: Amolops marmoratus (marbled sucker frog)
Lineage: Eukaryota; Metazoa; Chordata; Amphibia; Anura; Ranidae
Description: partial 16S ribosomal RNA
Rfam family: Bacterial large subunit ribosomal RNA
Source: RNAcentral
AACUGCCUUUCUCCAAAAUGCGUGUUUAAGCCAAAUAGGACCCACCAUUGGCAAUUAACAUAAAUGUAUAAAUCAUAGCAACCCCCACCAGAAAACCCUAAGACUUCUAGUGUCAACCUAACACCAGAGCAUUACAGGAAAGAUUAAAAGAGGGAGAAGGAACUCGGCAAAUCAUAGUCCCGCCUGUUUACCAAAAACAUCGCCUCCUGACAAAUAUAGGAGGUCCAGCCUGCCCAGUGAUAAAAUUCAACGGCCGCGGUACCCUAACCGUGCGAAGGUAGCAUAAUCACUUGUUCUUUAAAUGAGGACUAGUAUCAACGGCACCACGAGGACUCUACUGUCUCCUCCCUCCAAUCAGUGAAACUGAUCCCCCCGUGAAGAAGCGGGGAUUAUUCUAUAAGACGAGAAGACCCCAUGGAGCUUUAAACCCAAUAGGCAUCUCUGCAAACUUAAACCACCUUACCCUAAGAGGUAUGCACUAUUGGUUUUAGGCUGGGGUGACCGCGGAGUAAAACUAAACCUCCACGACAAACGGGCUAACGCCCUGAUCUACGAACCACACUUCUAAGAACCAAUAUAUUGUUGUCUAAUGACCCAAUUAUAUGAUCAACGAACCAAGUUACCCUGGGGAUAACAGCGCAAUCUACUUCGAGAGCCCCUAUCGACAAGUAGGUUUACGACCUCGAUGUUGG